GCAACUGCUAGGGGAGAAGCCGCGGAAAUACAGAUGUUCUAAGCGUGAUGCUGAUUGGUGGGGCGUAAAGUGGGCGUAGGUGGCGCCGUAUGUCAGUUGUGAAAUUUCGGCGCUUAACUCCGAAUCUGCAUUUGAUACUGCGGUGCUUGAGGACUGGAGAGGAGACUGGAAUUUACGGUGUAGCAGUGAAAUGCGUAGAUAUCGUAAGGAAGACCAGUGGCGAAGGCGUGUCUCUGGACAGUUCCUGACACUGAGGCACGAAGGCCAGGGGAGCAAACGGGAUUAGAUACCCUUGUAGUC
RNAcentral lists this ribosomal RNA (300 nucleotides) under uncultured Lactobacillus sp. RNAcentral describes it as "bacterial SSU rRNA". It matches the Rfam family "Bacterial small subunit ribosomal RNA", at positions 496 to 795 of the family's 1533-position model. The record is from RNAcentral. Lineage: Bacteria; Bacillati; Bacillota; Bacilli; Lactobacillales; Lactobacillaceae.